RNAcentral lists this long non-coding RNA (859 nucleotides) under Carica papaya (papaya). RNAcentral describes it as "long non-coding RNA (CPAP_LNC000897)". The record is from RNAcentral. Lineage: Eukaryota; Viridiplantae; Streptophyta; Magnoliopsida; Brassicales; Caricaceae.
AUGAGAUGAAUGAGUUUUUUUUUUUAAAAAAAUUAUAUAAUAUUUGCAUCUAGAAAAAAAAAUUCGUAUAUAAGCAUUUGUAGUUCAGGAAACUGAAAACAAAAUUUAAAAAAUGCAGUAAAGAGAUCGAAUGAGUUUGAAAAGAUUAAAAUGUUGUUCUCAGUGCUAUAUUUACUACUCAUUUUGUAUGCAUAAGCAUAAAAUAUAAAAAAUAAAACCAAAUACAGCUUUCUACAACUUGACAUGUUAAACCUUUACCUGAGGGUUUGGAGGACAUAAUACGAGCAGGAAAGAGUAUACAAAAGUAAGAAUCGAAUUAACCAAGAGUGAUGUUGUACAAAAACUUACAUAAACAUAGUCCUCCAAAACAGUAUACAAACAGGAAGGGAAGUAUAUGAAAGUAAUAACAAAGAAAGAAUCAUAUCUUAAGUCUUUCCAAAUACAGAAAAGUUGUUACUAAAAAUGUCUAACAAACUACUCCACUUUUGAGAGAAUUUCCCGGGAGAAAUCAACAAACUGAAGGUGCAUAAUCUCUGUGAACAAUUACAGAAGAUACUGAGAUGAAAAAAAGGUCUUUUCUGUAGGAAAAAAGAAAGCACACAAUUGAAAGUGCAUACUUUUCCAAGAAUAAUAACAGAAGAUAAUGAGAGAGAGAGAGAGAGAACAACGUCAAAGGAGAAACGGAUAAGAAAGAUAAUUCAGUGAAGCAAAAAGAAAGAAAAAAAGGCUAAGAUGUAUUGCUAGGAAAGAAGGGGAGUACACGAAAGUAACAAUAAAGAAUGAACCACAUGUGAAGUUCUCCAAAUACAGAAUGUGUUACUAAAAGUAUACAGGAACUAGUAUCCACCUUUCAAGGUGU